This 490-nucleotide ribosomal RNA is filed under the name uncultured bacterium. RNAcentral's name for it is "partial 16S ribosomal RNA". It matches the Rfam family "Bacterial small subunit ribosomal RNA", at positions 30 to 507 of the family's 1533-position model. The record is from RNAcentral.
AUUGAACGCUGGCGGCAUGCCUUACACAUGCAAGUCGAACGGCAGCAUGAUCUAGCUUGCUCGAUUGAUGGCGAGUGGCGCACGGGUGAGUAAUACAUCGGAACUUGCCCUGUAGUGGGGGAUAACUAGUCGAAAGAUUAGCUAAUACCGCAUACGACCUGAGGGUGAAGGUGGGGGACCGCAAGGCCUCAUUGUAUAGGAGCGGCCGAUGUCUGAUUAGCUAGUUGGUGAGGUAAAGGCUCACCAAGGCGACGAUCAGUAGCUGGUCUGAGAGGACGAUCAGCCACACUGGGACUGAGACACGGCCCAGACUCCUACGGGAGGCAGCAGUGGGGAAUUUUGGACAAUGGGCGAAAGCCUGAUCCAGCAAUGCCGCGUGUGUGAAGAAGGCCUUCGGGUUGUAAAGCACUUUUGUCCGGAAAGAAAUGGCUCUGGUUAAUACCUUGGGUCGAUGACGGUACCGGAAGAAUAAGGACCGGCUAACUACGUG